ACGGGGGGUGCAAGCGUUGUUCGGAAUUAUUGGGCGUAAAGAGCGUGUAGGCGGCUUGGUAAGUCAGAUGUGAAAGCCCUGGGCUUAACCCAGGAAGUGCAUUUGAAACUGCCUUGCUAGAGUAGGGGAGAGGGAAGCAGAAUUCCUGGUGUAGAGGUGAAAUUCGCAGAGAUCAGGAGGAACACCGACGGCGAAGGCGACUUCCUAACCCUAUACUGACGCUGAGCCGCGAGGGCGUGGUUAGCAAACAG
RNAcentral lists this ribosomal RNA (251 nucleotides) under uncultured prokaryote. RNAcentral's name for it is "partial 16S rRNA". It matches the Rfam family "Bacterial small subunit ribosomal RNA", at positions 525 to 775 of the family's 1533-position model. The record is from RNAcentral.